Rattus norvegicus (Norway rat) is the source of this 1066-nucleotide non-coding RNA. The record is from RefSeq and is a predicted model, not a curated record. Lineage: Eukaryota; Metazoa; Chordata; Mammalia; Rodentia; Muridae.
AUGUUAGUAACUUGUACAGGUUUUAAGAGAAAAGCCAACAGGAUUUAGUGGAAGAGAAGAAACUGUGAAAAUUAACAAGCAGGUCGUCGACGUUGGCAAAAAACUGUUUUGUUGAACGGAGAGGACGUGACAGAGACAAGGAAAGAGAAAGAACAAUUUUUAAAGUACGUAAUCGUGCAGAGGACUUUCAAAGUUUGAGAAAUGUCAUAGUGGCAGAUUCUUCCCACACCUCUGUGAGGCUCAGUCACAAUCUUCAGGGAAAAAAGGAAGAGAUGAUAAGAUUUUAUUCCUCUCCCAGUCUACCCUCUGACUAUUCCACAUCCCAUACCUCCUCCCUCCAUCUCCACAAGGAUGUCUUCCCACCCACUCCACCAGACCUCUGCACUCCCUGGGGCCUCCAGUCAAAACUCUGAAGCAUAAUUGUUCCUGUCUGAAAGAACUGCAAGGACGACAGUGGAGAAGAGCCUGAGGGAAGGGAGGUCCAGCAACAGGCCCAAAGUUGGAUCUAGCCCAAGGUCUCACACUAUUACUGAGUGUCAAAGAAAAGGGUCCUGCCAUGAUUGCUCUCCAAAAGGUCCAACAAGCAGCUCAAAGAGUCAGAUGCAGAUAUGUGCACCCAACCGAAGGACAGAAGCUGCUGACCCCUGUGGUUGAAUUAGGGGAAAGCUGGAAGAAGCUGAGGAGGAGGGUGACCCUGUAGGAGGACCAGCAGUCUCAAUUAACCUGAACCCUGAGAUCUCUCAGACACUGCAUCACCAACCAGACAGCAUACACCAGCUGAAUCUUCUAUUUAAUAAGGAAACAGUAUCUUGUCACAGAAUUUAGUCAAAUACUUUGUGCUAUGUUGGACAGAGAUCUCCUGAGCAGCAAGCUGUCUGAAGGAUUCAGGACUCAUUCUGGCAAAAUUGAUGUUUGCGAAGAACUAAGAACAUUGAGGUUAUUUGGACAUGGUCCCAUGUCGACCUAAAUUUUAUUUCCUGGCCACCUUGUUCACUUGAGUUAACUAUGAUUCAUGUCAGAUAUGAUUUGUAAUUUUCAUUCAGUCUUACCAAUGUUUCAAGUGUCA